GGCCGCCCAACACUGGGACUGAGAACUGCCCAGACUCCUACGGGAGGCUGCAGUCGAGAAUCAUUCGCAAUGGGCGAAAGCCUGACGAAGCGACGCCGUGUGAGCGAUGAAGGCCUUAGGGUUGUAAAGCUCUUUCGCCUGGGAACAAGAGAAGUUGGCUAAUAUCCAGCCAAUUUGAGGGUACCAGGUAAAGAAGCACCGGCUAACUCCCA
This 212-nucleotide ribosomal RNA is filed under the name uncultured Chlamydiales bacterium. RNAcentral's name for it is "partial 16S ribosomal RNA". It matches the Rfam family "Bacterial small subunit ribosomal RNA", at positions 302 to 506 of the family's 1533-position model. Lineage: Bacteria; Pseudomonadati; Chlamydiota; Chlamydiia; Chlamydiales. The record is from RNAcentral.